RNAcentral lists this ribosomal RNA (310 nucleotides) under uncultured Pseudomonadota bacterium. RNAcentral describes it as "bacterial SSU rRNA". It matches the Rfam family "Bacterial small subunit ribosomal RNA", at positions 29 to 351 of the family's 1533-position model. The record is from RNAcentral. Lineage: Bacteria; Pseudomonadati; Pseudomonadota.
AACGAACGCUGGCGGCAUGCUUAACACAUGCAAGUUGAACGCAGCAUAGGGCUUCGGCUCUAUGGCUGAGUAGCAAACGGGUGAGUAACGCGUGGGAAUCUGCCUUUUUGUGGGGGAUAACUGAGGGAAACUUCAGCUAAUACCGCAUAAGCUCUACGGAGGAAAAGCGAAAGCUGCAAAAAGAGGAGCCCGCGUCAGAUUAGGUAGUUGGUGGGGUAAAGGCCUACCAAGCCAAUGAUCUGUAGCUGGUCUGAGAGGAUGAUCAGCCACACUGGGACUGAGAUACGGCCCAGACUCCUACGGGAGGCUG